ACGUCGCCUCCCAUUCGUCCACCAAUCAGAGCGGAACAGCGCGGUGCGCGUGAGCAGGAUACAGGGCUGGAGCGGAGUUCGCUAGGGAAGCAGGUUCUCUGUGUGUAGAUAAUAAGUAGAUUCUUCAGGUGUGUAGAGGAGGACUGCAGGUGAUGAUGAUGAAGAUGAAGAUGAAGAGUAUCACACAGAUGUUGGUAAUGAUGAUCCUGGUUGUUGGAUUUGGAUCAGCUGUGGAGGUUCUGAGACCACGAGGAGUUCCACUGUCCAAGCGACAGUUCUACGAGGAGGAUAAACCGUUCACCUGUCUGGACGGGUCUCGCACCAUCCCGUUCGACCGGGUAAAUGAUGAUUACUGUGACUGUAAGGACGGGUCUGACGAGCCAGGUACGGCUGCUUGUCCUAACGGGAGCUUCCACUGUACGAACUCCGGCUACCGGCCCACCUUCAUCCCCUCCUCCCGCAUCAACGACGGCAUCUGUGAUUGCUGUGACACUACUGAUGAGUACAACAGUGGAGCCAAAUGUGAAAACACCUGCAGGGAUCUGGGCCGUAAGGAGCAGGAGGUUCUGCAGAAGAUGGCUGAGAUCACUAAAGAGGGAUUCCUGCUGAAGCAGCAGCUCAUUCAAGAAGGAAAAAACGGACAACAGGAGAAACAGAAUAAGCUGAAUGAGCUGCAGAACAGUAAGAAGGAGCUGGAGGAGAAGGUUGAAGCUCUGAGGACGGUUAAGGAGACGGCGGAGCAGCCUGAGAAAGAGGCUAAAGAGCGCCACCUGAAGGCCUGGGAGGAGCAGAAGGCUGCCGUUCAGGCGGAGAAGGAUAAAAAUAAGAUGGCGGAGGCUUUUCUGGAGCUGGAUGACGAUGCUGAUGGCCUUGUGUCGGUGGUGGAGCUGCAGUCUCAUAUGGAGCUGGACUCGGAUGCCGAUGGUUCUGUGUCGGAGGCUGAAGCUCAGGCGCUGCUGGGAGGAGUGGAUCGGGUGGAUACAGCAGCGUUUGAGAGCGUGUGGAGUAAUAUUAAGGAUAAAUAUGUCUCAGAGUCGCAGCCUGUAGACGCGGCGCCGGCGGACGCUACACCUGAAGAGAUCAAAGAGCCCGUUACCGAUAACGACUCAGAUCAAUACCCCAACGAUGAAGAUCUCCCUGAGGAGGAGGAGGAUGAAGAAGAUGAAGAUGAUGAUUAUCCUGAGGAAGAUGUUGAUAAGGCUCCUCCCACUGCGAGAACUCCAGAGAAGAAAGAUGAAAAUGAGGAGGCCAUGCCACCGUAUGAUGAUGCUACUCAGGCCCUGAUCGAUGGUGCUCAGAAAGCUCGGGAGAACUUCGAGGAGUCGGAGAGAGCUCUGAGAGAUAUGGACGAUCAGAUCAGGAAUAUAGAGAAAGAGAUUUCGUUUGAUUUUGGGCCGGAGGGCGAGUUCUCCUACCUGUACAGUCAGUGCUACGAGCUCACCACCAGCGAGUAUAUAUACAGGCUGUGUCCGUUUAACCGCGUUUCCCAGAAACCCAAGUAUGGAGGUUCAGAAACCAACCUCGGGACAUGGGGAACGUGGGCAGGACCUGAGAGUAAUAAGUAUCUGGUGAUGAAAUAUGAACAUGGUACCGGAUGCUGGCAGGGUCCUAACAGGUCCACCACCGUGAAGUUGACGUGUGGGAAGGAGACGGUGGUGACGUCCACCUCUGAGCCGAGUCGCUGUGAGUACCUGAUGGAGUUCAUCACUCCGGCCGUCUGCCAGGAACCGUCCUCCACCGACCCCCAGCGCAACCACGACGAGUUCUAGAACCCACAAUCUAGAACCGGAGAACCCGACGGUGAGAGUCACAACACGGGGAUUCUUAGUGUGCUUUCACACCAGUAGGUUUCUCUUGGGGACCACACCUCUACCUGUCACCCAAUCAUCUUCACCCGGCUCACGCCUGCACUGAUCAGCCCUGGUUCUGGUUCUGGUUCUGGGGAUAAUCCUGCAGUAGAUAGGUUGUGUCAGUAGUGUUUACCUGAUUUCACUCGUUUAGUUUCACUGAUGAAGAUCUCUGCACACAUUCCAUCAGUUCUUCUCUUCCUAAUAAAGUUCUUUUAAUGUGAUGAUCCACA
RNA transcript from Astyanax mexicanus (Mexican tetra), 2080 nucleotides. It is a transcript of the gene named protein kinase C substrate 80K-H, with no coding region annotated. Lineage: Eukaryota; Metazoa; Chordata; Actinopteri; Characiformes; Acestrorhamphidae. The transcript is spliced from 18 exons. The record is from RefSeq and is a predicted model, not a curated record.